CAUUAUGGCAGCUGUAGCGGAGGCGUGCAUCUUUCUUGGAGUCCGAACUCUCACUUUCUAACCCUGUGCACUUGUUUGGGAUAGUAACUCUCGCAAGAGAGCGAACUCCUAUUCACUUAUAAACACAAAGUCUAUGAAUGUAUUAAAUUUUAUAACAAAAUAAAACUUUCAACAACGGAUCUCUUGGCUCUCGCAUCGAUGAAGAACGCAGCGAAAUGCGAUAAGUAAUGUGAAUUGCAGAAUUCAGUGAAUCAUCGAAUCUUUGAACGCACCUUGCGCUCCAUGGUAUUCCGUGGAGCAUGCCUGUUUGAGUGUCAUGAAUACUUCAACCCUCCUCUUUCUUAAUGAUUGAAGAGGUGUUUGGUUUCUGAGCGCUGCUGGCCUUUACGGUCUAACUCGUUCGUAAUGCAUUAAAUCCGCAAUCUAACUUCGGAUUGACUUGGCGUAAUAGACUAGUCGCUGAAGAAUUCUCCUUCCUGAGUCAAGCGGUAGUAUGUUAAAGAAGGCUUCUGUUCUCG
RNAcentral lists this ribosomal RNA (518 nucleotides) under Rhodotorula mucilaginosa. Its description in RNAcentral is "eukaryotic LSU rRNA". The stretch from base 164 to 317 matches the Rfam family "5.8S ribosomal RNA". The record is from RNAcentral. Lineage: Eukaryota; Fungi; Basidiomycota; Microbotryomycetes; Sporidiobolales; Sporidiobolaceae.